Molecule: ribosomal RNA, 515 nt
Filed under: uncultured bacterium
Lineage: Bacteria
Description: bacterial SSU rRNA
Rfam family: Bacterial small subunit ribosomal RNA
Source: RNAcentral
AGCUAGAGUUUGAUCCUGGCUCAGACAAACGCUGGCGCGUGGAUUAGGCAUGCAAGUCGGACGUAGGCUUUAUCGUAAGAUAGAGUUUGAGAGUGGCGAACGGGUGAGUAACACGUAGGAAUCUACCCUUAAGACGGGGACAACCCAGGGAAACUUGGGCUAAUACCGGAUGAGAGUGCGAGAGAUUGCAUUUAAAAGGAUGGCGAAAGUUGUCGCUUAGGGAUGAGCCUGCGGUCUAUUAGUUAGUUGGUGAGGUAAGAGCUCACCAAGGCGAUGAUAGAUAGGCGGCCUUAACGGGUGGUCGCCCACACUGGGAUUGAGAUACGGCCCAGACUCCUACGGGAGGCAGCAGCUAAGAAUAUUCCGCAAUGGACGGAAGUCUGACGGAGCGACGCCGCGUGGAUGAAGAAGGCCGAAAGGUUGUAAAGUUCUUUUGCUAGGGGAGAAUAAGUGUGGGAGGGAAUGCCUGCACGAUGACAAGGACUAGCGAAUAAGUCCCGGCCAAACUACGUGCC